This 397-nucleotide ribosomal RNA is filed under the name uncultured bacterium. RNAcentral describes it as "partial 16S ribosomal RNA". It matches the Rfam family "Bacterial small subunit ribosomal RNA", at positions 523 to 918 of the family's 1533-position model. The record is from RNAcentral.
AUACGUAGGGGGCGAGCGUUGUCCGGAACGAUUGGGCGUAAAGGGCGCGUAGGCGGCGCGGUAAGUCUGGAGUGAAAGUCCUGCUUUCAAGGUGGGAAUUGCUUUGGAUACUGCCGCGCUUGAGUGCAGGAGAGGUUAUCGGAAUUCCCGGUGUAGCGGUGAAAUGCGUAGAGAUCGGGAGGAACACCAGUGGCGAAGGCGGGUAACUGGACUGCAACUGACGCUGAGGCGCGAAAGUGUGGGGAGCAAACAGGAUUAGAUACCCUGGUAGUCCACACUGUAAACGAUGAAUGCUAGGUGUAAGAGGUAUCGACCCCUUUUGUGCCGGAGUCAACACAAUAAGCAUUCCGCCUGGGGAGUACGGCCGCAAGGUUGAAACUCAAAGGAAUUGACGGGG